AACAUGAAGCUGCUGCUUAUUAUUCUGUGCGUUGCAUUGGUUGCUGCUGCUCCAAAAGCUAAAUCACACUCGAAGCGAUUGUCGUGUCAACUUGGCCUGUGUGACAGCAGUUGUUUCGUCCAAGGCCAAACUGGUGGUGGUUGCUGUGGGACAUCUGGGCCAUGUUACAACAUUUGCUAUUGCUAUGGGAGUGGCUAUGAAUAUCGCUGUGGUCAUUGCGAUCUCUAAUCAAAGCGAACUAUACAUGCAUAAUACUAUGAACUGAAAUUUUCGCUUUUAUGUUGCAAUAAUUCGUUGCUAAAAUAUAUUCUUCAAGAUAAA
Long non-coding RNA from Mya arenaria, 321 nucleotides. RefSeq lists it as uncharacterized. The record is from RefSeq and is a predicted model, not a curated record. Lineage: Eukaryota; Metazoa; Mollusca; Bivalvia; Myida; Myidae. The transcript is spliced from 4 exons.